AGCUCCAAGAGCGUAUAUUAAAGUUGUUGCAGUUAAAAAGCUCGUAGUUGGAUUUCUGGUACAACGCGCCUGGCCCGCAUUUGUGAGUGCCGGAGCGCGUUUGCCAUCCUUCUAGAAAACGUUUCUACCCGGGUAACUGGGCCGGACUCGCGAUCUAGAUCUUUUACUUUGAAAAAAUUAGAGUGUUUAAAGCAGGCUUUUGCUGUGAAUACAUUAGCAUGGAAUAAUAAUCUAGGACUUCGGUUCUAUUUUGUUGGUUUCUAGUACUGAAGUAAUGAUUGAUAGGGAUAGUUGGGGGUGCUAGUAUUGGCCGGCCAGAGGUGAAAUUCUUGGAUUCGGUCAAGACUAACUUAUGCGAAAGCAUUCACCAAGGAUGUCUUCUUUA
RNAcentral lists this ribosomal RNA (385 nucleotides) under Cryothecomonas sp. Its description in RNAcentral is "partial small subunit ribosomal RNA". It matches the Rfam family "Eukaryotic small subunit ribosomal RNA", at positions 587 to 975 of the family's 1831-position model. Lineage: Eukaryota; Cercozoa; Thecofilosea; Cryomonadida; Protaspidae. The record is from RNAcentral.